GACGAACGCUGGCGGCGUGCUUAACACAUGCAAGUCGAACGGGAUUUAGUAGACAGAAGCCUCGGCUAAAGACUACUAAUGGGAGUGGCGAAAGGGAGAGUAACGCGUGAGCAACCUGCCUAUGACAGUGGGAUAGCCACGGGAAAUCGGGAUUAAUACCGCAUAAAAUCGUAGAAACACAUGUACGAACGGUCAAAGAUCUAUCGGUCAUAGAUGGGCUCGCGUCUGAUUAGCUAGUUGGUGAGAUAACAGCCCACCAAGGCGACGAGCAGUAGCCGGUCUGAGAAGAUGAACGGCCACAUUGGAACUGAGACACGGUCCGAACUCCUACGGGAGGCAGCAGUGGGGAAUAUUGCACAAUGGGGGAAAGCCUGAUGCAGCGACGCCGCGUGAACGAAGAAGGUAUUCGUAUCGUAAAGUUCUGUCCUAUGGGAAGAUAAUGACAGUACCAUAGAAGAAAGCUCCGGCUAAAUACGUG
Molecule: ribosomal RNA, 478 nt
Filed under: uncultured bacterium
Lineage: Bacteria
Description: partial 16S ribosomal RNA
Rfam family: Bacterial small subunit ribosomal RNA
Source: RNAcentral